UUGGAGGGCAAGUCUGGUGCCAGCAGCCGCGGUAAUUCCAGCUCCAAUAGCGUAUAUUAAAGUUGUUGCAGUUAAAAAGCUCGUAGUUGAACCUUGGGCCUGGCUGGCCGGUCCGCCUCACCGCGUGUACUGGUCCGGCCGGGCCUUUCCUUCUGGGGAACCUCAUGCCCUUCACUGGGCGUGUUGGGGAACCAGGACUUUUACUUUGAAAAAAUUAGAGUGCUCAAAGCAGGCCUUUGCUCGAAUACAUUAGCAUGGAAUAAUAGAAUAGGACGUGUGGUUCUAUUUUGUUGGUUUCUAGGACCGCCGUAAUGAUUAAUAGGGAUAGUCGGGGGCAUCAGUAUUCAAUCGUCAGAGGUGAAAUUCUUGGAUUGAUUGAAGACUAACUACUGCGAAAGCAUUUGCCAAGGAUGUUUUCAUUAAUCAGUGAACGAAAGUUAGGGGAUCGAAGACGAUCAGAUACCGUCGUAGUCUUAACCAUAAACUAUGCCGACUAGGGAUCGGACGGUGUUAGUAUUUUGACCCGUUCGGCGCCUUACGA
RNAcentral lists this ribosomal RNA (541 nucleotides) under uncultured Ascomycota. Its description in RNAcentral is "SSU rRNA". It matches the Rfam family "Eukaryotic small subunit ribosomal RNA", at positions 548 to 1093 of the family's 1831-position model. The record is from RNAcentral. Lineage: Eukaryota; Fungi; Ascomycota.